RNAcentral lists this non-coding RNA (25 nucleotides) under Rattus norvegicus (Norway rat). The record is from RNAcentral. Lineage: Eukaryota; Metazoa; Chordata; Mammalia; Rodentia; Muridae.
UCCUGGACAGAAAGGGAGAGCUUGC